This 447-nucleotide ribosomal RNA is filed under the name uncultured Alphaproteobacteria bacterium. RNAcentral's name for it is "bacterial SSU rRNA". It matches the Rfam family "Bacterial small subunit ribosomal RNA", at positions 88 to 570 of the family's 1533-position model. The record is from RNAcentral. Lineage: Bacteria; Pseudomonadati; Pseudomonadota; Alphaproteobacteria.
GGGGGUAGCGGCGGACGGGUGAGUAACGCGUGGGAAUGUGCCUCUGGGUGCGGAACAACCACUGGAAACGGUGGCUAAUACCGCAUGAUGUCUACGGACCAAAGAUUUAUCGCCCAGAGAUCAGCCCGCGUUGGAUUAGCUAGUUGGGGGGGUAAUGGCCCACCAAGGCGACGAUCCAUAGCUGGUUUGAGAGGAUGAUCAGCCACACUGGGACUAAGACACGGCCCAGACUCCUACGGGAGGCAGCAGUGGGGAAUCUUAGACAAUGGGGGAAACCCUGAUCUAGCCAUGCCGCGUGAGCGAUGAAGGCCUUAGGGUUGUAAAGCUCUUUCACCGGCGAAGAUAAUGACGGUAGCCGGAGAAGAAGCCCCGGCUAACUCCGUGCCAGCAGCCGCGGUAAUACGGAGGGGGCUAGCGUUGUUCGGAAUUACUGGGCGUAAAGCGCGC